UUGGAGGGCAAGUCUGGUGCCAGCAGCCGCGGUAAUUCCAGCUCCAAUAGCGUAUAUUAAAGUUGUUGCAGUUAAAAAGCUCGUAGUUGAACCUCGGGAUCAAUGGAUCGGCCAUGCCAUCGGUAUGUACUGGUCUCAUUGGUUCUCACCUUCUAAGGAACCAUGAUGUCAUUCAUUUGAUGUUGUGGGGAAUUAGGACUGUUACCUUGAAAAAAUUAGAGUGUUUAAAGCAGGCUAACGCUUGAAUACAUUAGCAUGGAAUAAUGAAAUAGGACAUCGCAUUCUAUUUUGUUGGUUUCUAGGAUCGAUGUAAUGAUUAAUAGGGAUAGUUGGGGGCAUUAGUAUUCAAUUGUCAGAGGUGAAAUUCUUGGAUUUAUUGAAGACUAACUACUGCGAAAGCAUUUGCCAAGGAUGUUUUCAUUAAUCAAGAACGAAAGUUAGGGGAUCGAAGACGAUCAGAUACCGUCGUAGUCUUAACCAUAAACUAUGCCGACUAGGGAUCGGAUGAUGUUGAUUUUUUAAUGACUCAUUCGGCACCUUACGGGAAAC
RNAcentral lists this ribosomal RNA (549 nucleotides) under uncultured Glomus. Its description in RNAcentral is "SSU rRNA". It matches the Rfam family "Eukaryotic small subunit ribosomal RNA", at positions 548 to 1098 of the family's 1831-position model. Lineage: Eukaryota; Fungi; Glomeromycota; Glomeromycetes; Glomerales; Glomeraceae. The record is from RNAcentral.